RNAcentral lists this unclassified non-coding RNA (329 nucleotides) under soil metagenome. RNAcentral's name for it is "partial contains 5.8S ribosomal RNA, internal transcribed spacer 2, and large subunit ribosomal RNA". The stretch from base 1 to 120 matches the Rfam family "5.8S ribosomal RNA", at positions 35 to 154 of the family's 154-position model. The record is from RNAcentral.
GAUGAAGAACGUAGCGAAAUGCGAUAAGUAAUGUGAAUUGCAGAAUUCAGUGAAUCAUCGAAUCUUUGAACGCACAUUGCGCCCCUUGGUAUUCCGAGGGGCAUGCCUGUUCGAGCGUCAUUAUAACCCUUCAAGCUCAGCUUGGUGUUGGGGCCUGCUGCACUGGCAGCCCUUAAAAUCAGUGGCGGCGCCAUCUGGCUCUAAGCGUAGUAAUUCUUCUCGCUAUGGAGUCCUGGUGGAUGCUUGCCAUCAACCCCCAAUUUUUCUAUGGUUGACCUCGGAUCAGGUAGGGAUACCCGCUGAACUUAAGCAUAUCAAUAAGCGGAGGA